RNAcentral lists this ribosomal RNA (520 nucleotides) under Scheffersomyces shehatae. Its description in RNAcentral is "eukaryotic LSU rRNA". It matches the Rfam family "Eukaryotic large subunit ribosomal RNA", at positions 107 to 645 of the family's 3401-position model. Lineage: Eukaryota; Fungi; Ascomycota; Pichiomycetes; Serinales; Debaryomycetaceae. The record is from RNAcentral.
GCUCAAAUUUGAAAUCUGGCACCUUCGGUGUCCGAGUUGUAAUUUGAAGAAGGUAACUUUGGAGUUGGCUCUUGUCUAUGUUCCUUGGAACAGGACGUCACAGAGGGUGAGAAUCCCGUGCGAUGAGAUGUCCAACUCUAUGUAAAGUGCUUUCGAAGAGUCGAGUUGUUUGGGAAUGCAGCUCUAAGUGGGUGGUAAAUUCCAUCUAAAGCUAAAUAUUGGCGAGAGACCGAUAGCGAACAAGUACAGUGAUGGAAAGAUGAAAAGAACUUUGAAAAGAGAGUGAAAAAGUACGUGAAAUUGUUGAAAGGGAAGGGUUUGAGAUCAGACUUGGUAUUUUGUAUGUCUUGCUUUCGGGUGGGGCCUCUGCAGUUUACUGGGCCAGCAUCGGUUUGGACGGUAGGAUAAUGACAUUGGAAUGUGGCACUACUUCGGUGGUGUGUUAUAGACUUUGUUGAUACUGCCUGUCUAGACCGAGGACUGCGUCUUUGACUAGGAUGCUGGCAUAAUGAUCCUAAAC